UGGUGCUGUAUGCAGUGUCUGGAAAUCAGAAUUGGUGAAGAUAUAUUGUAGCUAAAAGAGACAAGAUCUCACAUGGUUCAUCAUUACUUCUUGUCAGUAAGUCAGCUUGGGGUUGCAGAAUGAAGGAGAAGCUUCAGCCUUAGAAACUCAGAGCUGCUAAUGAUAAAUUGCAAUCUGCCACGUGCUUCUUGUACAGGAUAGACAGUUGUGGCAACAAAAGACAAAGAAAGGCUAGAAAAACUGCAGCAGAUGUUUGUGCCUUGCACUGGUGUGGACAUGGAAGGAGUCAUGACAACACACAGCUAGUACUGAGGCAGAUCACAACAGUGUCUUCUACAGUAGAACUGGGACUUGAUGAGGACCUAAGUACAUUCAUCUCCCAUUCCUGCAAGUGAGUGAUGAAGGAAGUACAGAGAUCUGUAAAGAACAAGACAGUGGCAGAAACGAGGAACUAAGGAGUCAGCCGAGCAGGAUCAUGGGCUGCAGACACAUUGAGGAGCAGCUGAGAGAAGUACCUGGAGCUGGGGCUGUCUUUGUGUUCCCUGUCAGCCUGGGCAACUCCUGAGAUCCUGGCACCUCUGGUGCUGGGAAGAUGCCAGCCUGCACAGUGCCGUGACAGGUCAACAGCAAAGAUACUGCUCAGGACUGUACAUGGGAUGACAAAAAACAGAGUGGUAUAAGUU
This 683-nucleotide long non-coding RNA is filed under the name Gallus gallus (chicken). Its description in RNAcentral is "lncRNA (ENSGALG00010021357.1)". The record is from RNAcentral. Lineage: Eukaryota; Metazoa; Chordata; Aves; Galliformes; Phasianidae.